RNAcentral lists this long non-coding RNA (398 nucleotides) under Gallus gallus (chicken). The record is from RNAcentral. Lineage: Eukaryota; Metazoa; Chordata; Aves; Galliformes; Phasianidae.
UAAAAGCAGAAUGUGCAAAAAGCUGAUCUGCCUGGAGAUGAGGAGCAGAUAGGAACCGAGAUACCAGGAGGCAGAGAGAGAGUGAUGGAAGAAGGAAAUGGGAGAACUACAGUGAUAAAGACAGUAAAUGGCACACGAAAAAGGAGGUGAAGAAAUUCUGAGCCAGCAAGAAUAAAAAAAGAAGAAUAGAUGAUGAAAUGUUGGCAACUGUGAGGAAGACUGAAGGAUACACUCAAACUAGGAGAAUAGGAUGCUUUGUUUUCUGAAAAUCAAGUUUGAAGGAGAUCCAGUAUUACCACAACAGACAUCCUCUCCCCCUGGAAAUAAUGAAGACAAGAUGAUAAGAAAUGUUUUAAAAGAGGGAGCAAACGUGGAAGAUCAAGCGUAUAGGAAAAAGG